Long non-coding RNA from Dicentrarchus labrax (European seabass), 1558 nucleotides. RefSeq lists it as uncharacterized. The transcript has 2 exons. The record is from RefSeq and is a predicted model, not a curated record. NCBI's taxonomy places the organism in Eukaryota, Metazoa, Chordata, Actinopteri, Moronidae.
AGUGAAGGAGGCUGUGGGCACCUCCCACAGUUUACUCCCUGUUCCAGCCACAAACACAGCUACAGAGGAAGGGAGAGUCAGAAAACAAUGCACUUGGGGAGGACAUCACCUGUCGAGCCUCCAGUUGAGCUGGGAGCCACAGAUCAGUUUGUUCUCAUAUGACUGAGCAGAUGGAGCUGAAGGAAAAUGGAGACUUUGAAUGGAAAGGGAUGCUGACUUGCUGAUAGAUGUUUUUUGUUCUUUGUGUUCAGGAAAAAGCUCCAAAAUGGUGGCUGACUGAUCUGCGUUUAGUAAACUUGUUAGUGUCAGAUGGAGGAUAUUUUUUGUUCCCCUCACUCUUGGAGUGCUUCCCAUCUGCUGACCACAACCACAGACAUGUGUGCAGCUCAGUCAUUUCCUAGCAUCCUUCCACCUGCACACACACACACACACACACACACACACACACACACACACACGUAGAGGCUGGAUUGCACAGUCGCUGACCACAAAACCAAAUUUAAGCUCAAGGCACAUUUCUCCUCCUUUGAGCAGUCUGUCAAUUUGUUGAUAUGAUUAAUACUCCUUUUUCUUGUCACAGGCAUUGAAACAUGUUUGCAAUUUUCCCCAUGCGGUGAUGUGUUUGUUUAUGCUCCAUGUCACUGCAGCUGGCGAGGGAACCCGGUCAGUCGGACCCAGCUGCGCUCCCACGGGAGUGCUCGGAGCAGAAAUACUAAUCAGGAUUAAUUAAUUUCCACUGCUCCUUGCAAGUCAUCCAAUCGGUCUGUUUUGUGUUAUCCACCCUUUGUAGCUGCAUGCAACAUGUUGCCUAAGUGGUUACUCACACACGGUGCAAUGAAUGGACAGAGAGGCAAGAGUCACAGUAUGAUGUGGAGUCAUUUGGGUUGCUAUAUUUGAGUUUCUGUUUUUGCCAAAGCAUUUCUAUAGUGUUUCUUGAGGUCACUUGUCAUUCAGCCCCUUUCCCUCUCUUGGAUCUCGUUCCAGUUUGGGCAUAUGGUUGCAUUUACUAAAAGAGCACUCAUAAAAGCAGAGCUUAGUAAAACAAAAUUGCUCAUCGUGGGGUUUUUUAAGUAUUCUUCUACAAAAGAGCCUAUUGCAACCACAAGUGAGGCGAUGUUGUAAUACAUAUGAUAAUAUCCAACCCCCAUCUCAAUUUGGAGGAGAUGGGGGACCAUUUUAGUUGAUUCACUUCCUACACAGGCAGUCAGAUAUCAUUAGUUUUACCCUGCAAUGGUUCCCACUGAUUUAUUUUCCCACUAAGGGCCCUAAAACUUCCCCUUAUGCAGUAUACACCUCCCUGUCACUGAAUAGCGUUCGGUGCAUCUUUUAGAAACAGAUGUCAUGUAUUUUUACCAAUAUAACACACUGCAAGACUGAUAAAACCAAUGUUGGGUUAUACACACAGCUGUCUCUCUGCGUACAGCUAAACCUGAUGCAGUCGAAUGCAACAAACCUGCAAUUAAACCUGAAGGUUGUAAGGCAUUGAGUCAAUGUAUGGUCAUUUUGGAGGCUGCAGUUUAUGGUGUUGUUGAAUUAUAAUAAACUGGUAAUAAACAAG